UGGUGCAGCGCAAGGACUCUGCUAUAUGCACCACGACUGUACUCGAUCCAUCAUUCAUAGAGACAUUAAGUCCAGCAAUAUCCUUCUGGACUCAGAAUUCAAUGCAAAAAUAGCAGAUUUUGGACUAGCAAAAAUACUAUCCAGGAGGGAUGAUAAUCCUGAGACAGUUUCUGCUAUUGCUGGAACAUUUGGUUACAUUGCACCAGGUAUAUUACAGUUUAAAUAUCUAUUGUACCUCGAGAAUUUCACAAAAGAAUUAUACUCCAAUAUUAAAUUUUAAUGUUUGGUCCUCACAGAGUAUGCCUCGACAUUUAGAGUGAAUAUAAAGACAGAUAUCUAUAGCUUCGGAGUGGUGCUAUUGGAAUUAACAACAGGGAGGCAACCCAUUCUCAGAGAGGACCAAAUGAAUCUAGCACAAUGGGCUCAACAGCGUUACAGAGAUGGGAAUUUCAUUGUUGCCCUUGAUGAAGAAAUCAUGGAAACAAGUAAUGUGGAACAAAUGAGAGGUGUUUUUAAACUAGGACUAAUGUGUACCGGAGCAUCACCAUCUAGUAGGCCGUCAAUGAAGGAGGUCUGCAACAUUCUUCAAAGUCUCAGAGACCCCAUAUUUUGAGAGAAUAGAAUGUUUCGCCUUACAUAGAUAAAUGUAGUUGUAUUUUUUUUAACAGAAUGAGAAAGUCGUGUUGAUAACGAUUUCUUCCAGCAAUGUAUACUUUAGUAAUACUGUCAGAGGACAUUUUUUAUCCUCAGACAGAUCAAUAGCCUCAUCUGGUUUAAGUGGUGUCAAACACAAGGGCUUGUAAGCUUUACCUUAGAAUGUGAUUCCUUGUUCAUACUUGAGAUGUCGCGAGGCAAGAGCUAAGUGUCGUGGCAAUUACAGUGUAUAUAUAUAUAUAUAUCUUUUUUUUAAUUCUUCAGAACUCUCCAAGGAAGCUUUUGGAACAUACAGGUUUGAUGAACUGCAAAUGCCUUCUUUCAAACAUAAAUCCUUCUCAUGAUAAUCUUGUAGGAAGUCUAGUUCUUGUGGCAGAGGUUGUAGCGGCUGGGGAUUAUCCUGGGGUUCCCAAAAAAUAAAAAAUAAAAAUUCUAACAGUUUUACACAAUUGAUAAAAGCUAAAACCAUUGAUUAGAUAUUCAUUAAUGGUCUAGGCUAACUUAUAUGAUUGGAAAAAUGAAAUGUUCCUAUAAGCGAUCAAGUUUUUCUACUCGUUAAUUCUUUUGGUACUUGUUUUAAUUAGUUUGUUAGAAUUGUUCUGACCCUCAGUGAUACUCCUGAUGGAGCAGGGUCAAGUAGGACUAACAGACUUCUAGGUUCACAAGCUUCAGAAGAUGAGGUGAACAUGACAUCUUAGGCGAAGAAAGUGAGGAGCCCCGAGUCCUAAGGGGAGAGGGUGUAUAUGAUGCCCCCGAUGGAGGGCAGGUUAAUGAGGGUACAGGAUCAAGCAAGAUGUCAAAUCCAUGUUAAAUGUGGCAGCAGCAACACUGCAGAAGCUCAAGCAACAUUUUUUGGUAUUGAUUGGUGCAUCCAAAAUGGAUUCAGUGGUUUCACCAUUAAACUGGAUUCACUUUUGGUUACCAGCAUAUUAAAAAAGAUGAUAAGACUGCCAACUUCAAGCUGAAGAUUAUCAUUGAAGACGUUUCCCAAACGAUGAACCAAACCAAUGUUAUUGGCUACCGUUAACAACUGCACUGCUACAAAGAGGCAAAUCAAGUAGCAAACGUCCUUCCAAUAAGGCAAUGGUAUACCUCUCCUUCCAACAACUUCCUAGAGGUUCUAAAGGACCUUUCCAUUUAGAUAGAUGUCAGAUACCUGGUAUAUAUUAGGACAAAAUUUGAUAAGGACAACUUUUUCGUUUUGUUGAGACCGUUAUUGACUGUUCUAUGGAAAAGGACUAACAAGUGUAUUCUCCAUAAUCUAUAAUCUGACCCAUUUUAUGAGUUAAUUAGACUGUUGGAUAGAGAAGAAAAAUCAGAAAAAUAAAAGAGUUGAUUCAUCACCUCACUAGAAAAGAAGGUAGAAUAAGUAUUUGGACUUUUAAUUUUUCAGUGCAAAUAAAGAAGCAACGAUAAUCCUGGAUUCGCAGCCAAUUGCUAGGAAGAAGUAUUAAGGCUAAGUAAUAGAAUUUGCAGAACUUCCUUCAUGGAAGGUCUAGCAGAAGGUACAGUACUGGUGCAAAUAAUCCCCAACUUGAACAUGGAACUCAUUUCGUUCAAGAAACAUGCUUCCUUGAUUUCUUCAUCAAUAGCAUCAACCACUGGAUUGCCUUCUUCAUGGUGGUUCCAUGCCCUUUGUGCAAGGUUUAUAUGCUCGUCUCCGUUAAUUGGUUCUCUCCCGGUAACCAGCUCCAAUAACACCACACCAAAACUGUAGACAUCAAUCUUGGCAUUCACUUUCGACGUGUAUGCAUACUCUGAAAUUCCAAUUAGAAUAACAAGGUAUUAGGAUAAAAUCAAUGAGAAACACGAUACAUACGUACACUCUGGUGUGUUUUUGUUUAUUUCAUUAUGAGAACAGUGAAAUAUACCUGGAGCUAGGUAGCCAAACGUGCCAGCGAUAGCAGAAGCAGUCUCUGUCUCUCCCCACUUGGCCAAAAUCUUAGCUAGUCCAAAAUCUGCAAUUUUGGCAUUCAGUUCAUGGUCUAAAAGGAUAUUACUGCACUUAAUGUCACGAUGAAUGAUUGGCGUAGAGCACUCGUGAUGCAUGUAACAUAGACCUCGGGCAGCACCAAUUGCAAUUUGCAGUCUAGUAUGCCAUUCCAAUACACAAUGUGCUGAGGCAGUAAUAUCUUUUUCACUUCUUCUCUUGUGAUGCAACCACUUGUCUAAGCUUUGAUUUUCCAUGUACUCGUACACCAAAACCUUUGAGUUUCCUCUAGAAAUGCAACAUAACAACUUCACAAUAUUAGAAUGUCGAAUGCUACCCAAUACUUCAACUUCUGCAAGGAACUGUUUCUCAAGCCCGUGGUCUAAAUUCCUCUUGUUCCAUAUUCUCUUAACUGCCACAAAGUUCCCAUUAGGAUUGACACCAACUCGAUAGACCUUCCCAUAUCCUCCACUUCAAAUCAAAUUUUCUUCUGUCAUAUUCACCUGAAUUUCAAAUUCUGUGAAUCCUAACUGCUGGAAAGAAAUGAACAUCCACUCAGGAUCUUGGUUCUCAUGCCUCUUCCUCCACAUGAGUUGGUCUGUGGAGAAAGUCCAAUUCUUUUUAAAUGUGUAACAUAAUAAUGUUAUCAUGACUAAAAAUGCAACAGGGGCCACAACGGCAAUUACAACUCUUGUUUUUCCACUUCAACGUGGAACUUGGAUGUAAUGGUUGGUAUAUUUGCUACAUAGAUUCAGAUUAUUUCUAAAGUAGUAUUCAUUCUUGUCAUACUCUUGUGGAAUAUGUCCAGAAAGCUGAUUCGAUGAAAGAUCCAAUGUUCUUAAUCUCAAAUUUCCAGUUAUACUAGGUAAAUUCCCAGAAAAUUGGUUAUCCCCCAAAAGAAGAGAUGUUAAAUUCUUCCAAUGAAAUAAGUAGCUUGGAAUUGAACCAUUUAGGUGAUUUCCUGAGAGAUCUAAGACUUGGAGACCAGAAAGAUUAGAAAACAUUUCUUGAGUUCUCCCCAUCAAUUCCAUAUUUGCAUCCAACAUUGGUAACCUACCGGAAAAUUGGUUAAACUCCAAAUGAAGAUUCGUCAACUUCUUCCAUUCAAACAAGUAACUUGGGAUAGACCCCUUUAAGUAAUUCAUUGAGAGAUCCAAGACUUCGAGACCUGAAAGAGCGGAAAAUGUUUCUGGAAUCUCCCCUUUCAAAUUUGACCGUACAAUGAAAAGGGCUGUCAACUUCUUCAGUCUUCUUAAUUCCUCUGGGAUUGUUGCCUGCUUAAAGCUGUCAAUAUAGGAUAUAUCCAAGGUCUCAAGCUUUGAUAAAUUUCCAAUUUCUCGGGAUAUCCAAGUGUUGAAAUUAUUGAACUUAAGAGAUAGAUAUUGCAAUUCAGAAAGCUGACCUAUGGCUUCUGGGAUAUUACUGAAGUUAUUUCCAGCAAUAUCUAAAUGGAUUAGCCUCGACAAACGAUGAAGGUCACUAGGCAGUGGUCCAUGGAAUUGAUUCCAAGAAAUAUCAAGAUAUUCCAGCUUUGAGCAAUUGUACAAGGAGGUAGGAAAUUCUCCUCUGAUAUAGUUGCUACUCAGGUCUAUCAAUUGCAGGCUUUUGAGUUCACAUAUGAUUAGUGAAAUUGUUCCGGAAAGUAGAUUCCCUUCAUGAAUCGAGAUGCUUGUAACAGAACCAUUUCUGCAGCCUAUACCAUACCAACUGCAGUGUGAGGAAUCGGAAUCGGAAUCCCAUAAUUGAUGCAAUCCCCAUAGUUGCUUCAGCUCCAACAAAAUGUUCUUCUCCUUUUCGUAGACGUCACUCUGUAAACCGCCCUGGAAAUGCAUAAAGGCAAGUAAGGAGACAAUGAAAAGGUAAACUUGUUUCCUGGGAAUUGAGAAUGUAGAUUUUACAACAUGAAUAUGGUUGAUUUUCAUGGCUCCUUUGGUUUGAUUGUCCUCUUUAUUUUGUGGAUCAUGAAUUAGCUUUGAAGAAACCGUGUAUUAUACAACACAAGUCAGUCAACAUGGACGAAAAUUUGUAUAAUGCUAACAAAGUUUGACUUGUUAAAUUUUAAAAAGAUAAGAAACAAAAAUUGACUUCACUGACGUCUGUGGACUGUGGCCAAGAAAAAACAGCAAAGAAAUCAGAUGAUCAAAUAUAAUAGAAGAUAAGAGAGAAAAUACAUGAUGAAGUCCCCCCUAACUUACAUUUUAUUUUAGAGUAGAUACCUAAAGUUUGCGGGGUCAUAUUAUCAAAGCAUUUCCCACCGUAAUAAAUAUACCAUUUUGAUCCAUUGCACCUACAAGUUGGUAGUAUUUUCCAGCUUUAUGCCCGGAUUUUUUAGCAAAUAAACCACAUUAUUGUUUCUUCUUUUUUUAAAGUUUUUGUCACUCACUUAUCCUUGUUCUGAUAUCAUGUUAAAAUAAAGAUACAAAAAUAAUGAAGAACAAGAAACAACCUAUGGAAGAAAUUUCCUCUUUCUUUUAUGUUAUUCGAUAUUUACAACAUCAUAUUGUUACACAAAAUUUGUAGUCGCUCUAGGGCUUCCCUUUCCUUGUCCAAAUAAGCCUACCAUUAUUCUUUUCCUAAUUAAAUUACAAUCACAUACAUAAUUAUCAUAAAUAUAAUUUUUCAUAUUUACUUCAUUAAUAAUACUAAUAAGAAAUAGAUUUACACGUAACUCAAUUCCAAAAAUAAGUUCAUGAGAAUUAUCUAAAACCAUAUAAAGAGACAAAAUCCUUAGUACAGUGUGAAACAGUUGUGCACACACUAGUAUUAACCCACACAAGGUGCAACCUUUUAUUCUUAAAUUUUUUGCUAACAGAUCAGAUGAGCAAAUAUAAUACUUUAAAAUUGGUACACAUCCUAAUCCAGUACCCACCCCCAAUGAAUACAAAAUCAUUUUCACAUAUUCUAUUUUUCUUUCACACAUGACUUCACAUUUAUCUUGUGUUUUAUCAUUUAUUUUUUUCAUAUUGAGGGUUGGGGUUCUGAAAAUAGGAGAUUAAUUAUUUUCUUUGAAUAUCACUUCCUAUCUAUAAGUAAUAACACAAAUUACAAAUUUCGAAAGCAUAAUUAAUAAGGUUAAUAUAGUAAAACAGACUUCUAAGUAAAUAUUUUGUUAAAGGAGAGUAUCAAGUCAUGGUGGAUAAGUUAAAAGGGGGAGGGAGUAAAUUAGUAGCUUGACUUGGUCAAAAGGAGACAACUAGCCAAUUAUUAUGGUUUGAUUCUUCAAAGCCAAAUAGUUGGCUCUAAAUGACUAUUUUAUUGUUGGAAUAAGAGUUGACUUGACAGACUUCAUUAUCAAAUGAAAAGAAACACAAGGAAAGCAUCAAAUUAACAUGAUCCAAGCAAGCUCUAAACUUUUUUGGCUCAAUAUGCAAAUCUUCUUCCUAAUUAGCCUGUCUUUCCAAGAAACCUUACAAUUUUCAGGCACGGAACGGUCCACAUUACUAAGCUUGAAACAACACUGGAGGGAUUCGGAGUUUUUCCAGUCGUGGAAUUUGAAUUCUUCAGAAUGCAAUUGGUUAGGAGUUUCAUGCAUCAAUGACAUGGUAGAGACACAAUUAAAUCUUGGAGAAAAGAACAUUACUGGAACAAUUCCAUCAACAAUAAUAUGUCAGCUCAACAACCUUACCUUCAUUGAUCUCUCCAACAACAACAUAUCAGGAACUAUACCACUAAGCCUGAAAGAUUGCUCAAUGUUACAACAUUUGGACUUGUUCAAUAAUUCUUUGAGCGGCCGGAUUCCAGGUGUUGUUGUUUGGGAUGAAAACACUAGUCAAUUUGUAUCUUAAUGGUAACAUGUUGUCCGGUGAAAUGCCAAAGCAAAUAUCAGCAUCCCAACUGAAAAAUCUUGAUCUUUCUGAGAACCACUUGAACGGUUCGAUUCCAGAAGCUAUUGGUAACUUGAAAAAUCUUGUGAAAUUGGAUCUGUCACAUAAUUCUCUAAGUGGUUCUAUUACAAGCAAGUUGUUUCAAUUGAACCAAUUGAGUCACUUGUCGCUAAGUUACAACUACUUAUCUGGUGUAUUACCUAAUGCAAUGAACUUGUUUAGUUUGUAUGAUAUGGAUCUUUCUCAUAACCAAUUGACUGGUUCUAUUCCAAAGGGACUUGCAAGUUCAACUGGACUGGAUGCUUUGGAUUUGUCGUAUAAUCAGUUAUCAGGAAACAUUUCAGAAAGUAUAAAACAUCUUAGGCCUAGAAUUAGUUUAAGGCUUUGUUCCAACAAAUUCUCAGGAAGAAUUUCUUCUGAAUUUGUUAAGCUAACAUAUGAAGAGAAUUGCUUUGAUGAGUCCAAUCUUUCUUCUACAUCCAAUAGCUUAUCUAUCCCUGGGCUACCAAGCUUUCUCUCUGGUGAUGAGGUUCAAAAAAUUUCGAGAUCACAACACUUGAUUAUUCCUAUUGUAGGAGUUGGGGUAGCUAUACUGUUAUUAUGGAUCUUUCACAGAACCAGAAAGCAUUGGUGGAAAACAAAGAUGCAGAAUGUCAAAGAUAACAUAAAGUUCAUUUCAUUUCAAAAGUUGAAGGUGACUACAGAAGACAUAUUAUCUAGCUUGAAAGACGAAAACAUAAUAGGAAAUGGAGGAUCAGGGAAGGUCUAUCGAGUUGUGAUAGACCAAACAGGCAAUACUUAUGCUGUUAAAAGCAUAGGGCAUGGAGAAAAAUCAGGUGGAAGACCCCAAAAGGAGUUCCUGGCAGAAGUUAGAACACUUGGUAGCAUUCGACACAACAACAUUGUCAAGCUCAUGUGUUGCAUCUCAAGUUUAGACAGAAAGCUUCUAGUCUAUGAAUACUUUGAGAAACAAAGCCUAGACAAGUGGCUUCACAGAAAGAAAAGAGCAGCGUCACCCGGUCAAAGUAGUACCCCGACCCUGGAUUGGCAAAAGAGAUUAAAAAUAGCCACUGGUGCAGCUCAAGGACUCAGCUAUAUGCACCACGACUGUACUCGACCCAUCAUUCAUAGAGACAUUAAGUCCAGCAAUAUACUUCUGGACUCAGAAUUCAAUGCAAAAAUAGCAGAUUUUGGACUAGCAAAAAUACUAUCCCGGAGGGAUGAUGAUCCUGAGACAGCUUCUGCUAUUGCUGGAACAUUUGGUUACAUUGCACCAGGUAUAUUACAGUUCAAAUAUAUAUCGUACCUCGUGAAUUCUCAAAAGAAUUUAUCCAACUCUAAUAUUUUUUAAUGUCGGGUCCUCACAGAGUAUGCCUCGACAUUCAGAGUGAAUAUAAAGACAGAUAUAUAUAGCUUCGGAGUGGUUCUAUUAGAAUUAACAACAGGGAGACAACCCAUUCUCAGAGAAGAGCAAAUGAAUCUAGCACAAUGGGCUCAACAGCGUUACAGAGAUGGGAAUUUCAUUGUUGAGGCCCUUGAUGAAGAAAUCAUGGAAACAAGUAAUGUGGAACAAAUGAGAGGUGUUUUUAAACUAGGACUGAUGUGUACUGGAGCAACACCAUACGGUAGGCCGUCAAUGAAGGAGGUCUGCAACAUUCUUCAAAGCUUCAGAGACACCAUAUUUUGAGAAAACAGAAUGUUUAGCCUUACAUGGAUAAAUGUAGUUGUAUUUUUUUAACAGAAUGAGAAAGUCUCAAUAGCCUCAGCUGGUUUAAGUGGUGUCAAACACAAGGGCUUGUAAGCUUUACCUUAGAAUGUUACUCCUUGUUCAUAAUUGAGAUGUAGCGAGGCAAGAGCUAAGUGUCUUGGCAAUUACAGUGUUUGUAUAUAUCAUUCGGGAGAUUAGACAGAUUUUAAGCACACUGAGCAUUAAGGUCUAACAAUGCUUUAGGAAGGAUAAUCAUGAUGCAGAUGCUUUAGCUAAAUGAGUAAUGGAGGUUAGACCCAUAUCUUUUUUUAAUUCUUCAGACAACCUGCCUAUUCCCAACCAAUGUGGGACUUUUACCCACUCUAACACGGGAAGUAGAUUUCUUUCAUGAAUAGAGAUGCUGGUAACAGAACCAUUUCUGCAGCCUAUAGCAUACCAACUGCAGUGUGAGGAACUGGAAUCCAAUAAUUGAUGAAAUCCCCAUAGUUGCUUCAGCUCCAACAAAAUGCUCUUCUCAUUUUCGUAGACGUCACUCUGUAAACCACCCUGGAAAUGCAUAAAGGCAAGUAAGGAAACAAUGAAAUGGUAAACUUGUUUCCUGGGAAUUGAAAAUGUAGAUUUUACAACAUGAACAUGGUUAGUUUUCAUGGUUCCUUUGGUUCGAUUGUACUAGCUACCUCAUUCUCUACAAUCUCUUGUUUUAUUUUUUUCAAGUGUUUUGAUUGGAUAGUUAAUUAGCUUUGAAGAAACCGUGUAUCAUACAACACAAGUCAGUCAACAUGGACAAAAAUUGUUGCUGACUAUGAAAGGAAAAUGCUAGCAAAGUUGACUUGACUGACCUUUCUGGCCAAGAAAAAACCAGCAAAGCAAGAAGAUUUUUGCAUUUUCCAGAAAACGAUUAUCAAUAACAUAAUCAACAUGUUUUUGUUUGUAAUCUAAAGAACUGCCAAUUAUUUAUUUGAAUUAUUAAAAUGGGAAAACUCAAUUAGCUCAAAUUCAACAUAAUAUUAAUAAGAAAUAGCUUUUGAACCUAACUCAACUGUAAAAACAAGCUAAGAAUUGUCCGAAACUAUAUAAAGAGACCAAAUCCAUCAUCCCACUACAAUUUUUGUGCAAGCACAAGAAAGUGCACCUACAAAUUCAUUUUCACAGUCUCUUUUUCUUUCUCACAUGACUUCACAUAUUUCAUAAUGAGGGUAUCAAGUCAUCGUGGGUAAGUACAAAGGAAGGGAGGGAGUAAAUUACUAGCUUGACUUAGUCAGAAGGAGACAAUUAUUAUGGCUUGAUUUUUCAAAGCCAAAUACUUGGCUCUGGAUGACUAUUUAAUUGUUGAAAUAUGAUUUCUUUAUUAAAUCCACACUGACUUCACAGACUUCAUUAUCAAAUGAAAAGAAGCACAAGGGAAGCAUCAAUUAACAUGUUCCCAGCAAGCUCUAACCAUUUUUUGCUUAAUAUGCAAAUUUUCUUCCUAAUUAGCCUGUUUUUUCAAGAAACCUUACAAUUUUCGGGCACGGAACAGUCCAUAUUACUAAGCUUGAAACAACACUGGAGGGAUUCGGAGUUCCUCCAGUCAUGGAAUUUGAAUUCUUCAGUAUGCACUUGGUCAGGAGUUUCAUGCCUCGAUGACCGGGUAGUGACACAACUAAAUCUUGGAGAAAAGAACAUUACUGGAACAGUUCCAUCAACAAUAAUAUGUGAGCUUAACAACCUUACCUUCAUUGAUCUCUCCAACAACAACAUUUCAGGAACUAUACCACUAAGCAUGAAAGAUUGCUCAAUGUUACAACAUUUGGACUUGUCCAAGAAUUCUUUGAGCGGACAGAUUCCAGGCGAGUUGUUUGGGAUGAAACAAUUACUCAAUUUGUAUCUUAAUGGUAACAUGUUGUCUGGUGAGAUGCCAAAACAAAUAUCAUCUCAACUGGAAAAUCUUGAUCUUUCUGAGAAUCACUUGAACGGUUCGAUACCAGAAGAUAUUGGAAACUUCAAAAAUCUUUUGAAAUUGGAUCUGUCACAUAAUUCUCUCAGUGGUUCAAUUACAAGCAAGUUGUUUCAGUUGCAUGAUUUGCGUCACCUGUCGCUAAGUUCCAACUACUUGUCCAGUGUGAUACCUGAUGAAAUGGACUUGUUUAGUUUGUAUGAUAUGGAUCUUUCACACAACCAAUUGACUGGUUCUAUACCAAAGCGAUUUAGGGAUUUACCUGGACUGGAUUCUAUGGAUUUGUCUUUUAAUCAGUUAUCAGGAGACAUUUCAAAAAGUAUAGAACGUCUUAGGCCUAGAAAUACUUUAAGGCUUUGUUCCAACAAAUUCUCAGGAAGAAUUUCUACUGAAUUUGUAAAGUUGACAUACGAAGAGAAUUGCUUUGACGAGUCCAAUCUUUGUUCUACAUCCAACAACUUAUACAUCCCCGGCCUACCAAGCUGCUCCUCUGGUGAUGAGGUUCGAAAAUCUUCGAAACCAAAACACUUGAUUAUUCCUAUUGUAGGAGUUGGGGUAGCUACACAGUUAUCAUGGAUCUUUUACAGAACAAGAAAGCAUUGGUGGAAAACAAAGAAGCAGAAUGUCAAAGAUGACAUGAAGUUCAUUUCAUUUCAAAAGUUGAAGGUGACUACAGAAGACAUUUUAUCUAGCUUGAAAGACGAAAACAUAAUAGGAAAUGGAGGAUCAGGGAAGGUCUAUCGAGUUGUGAUCGACCAAACAGGCAAUACUUACGCUGUUAAAAGCAUAGGGCAUGGAAAAAAAUCAGGUGAAAGACCCCAAAAGGAGUUCCUGGCAGAAGUUAGAACACUUGGUAGCAUUCGACACAACAACAUUGUCAAGCUCAUGUGUUGCAUCUCAAGUGUAGACAGAAAGCUUCUAGUCUAUGAAUACUUUGAGAAACAAAGCCUCGACAAGUGGCUUCACAGAAAGAAAAGAGAAGCGUCACCCGGUCAAAGUAGUACCCCAUCCCUGGAUUGGCAAAAGAGAUUAAAAAUAGCCACUGGUGCAGCUCAAGGACUCAGCUAUAUGCACCACGACUGUACUCGACCCAUCAUUCAUAGAGACAUUAAGUCCAGCAAUAUACUUCUGGACUCAGAAUUCAAUGCAAAAAUAGCAGAUUUUGGACUAGCAAAAAUACUAUCCAGGCGGGAUGAUAAUCCUGAGACAGCUUCUGCUAUUGCUGGAACAUUUGGUUACAUUGCACCAGGUCUAUUACCGUUCAAAUAUAUAUCGUACCUCGUGAAUUCUCAAAAGAAUUUAUCCAACUCUAAUAUUAAAUUUUAAUGUUUGGUCCUCACAGAGUAUGCCUCGACAUUCAGAGUGAAUAUAAAGACAGAUAUAUAUAGCUUCGGAGUGGUGCUAUUAGAAUUAACAACAGGGAGACAACCCAUUCUCAGGGAGGAGC
RNAcentral lists this long non-coding RNA (11499 nucleotides) under Solanum tuberosum (potato). RNAcentral describes it as "long non-coding RNA (STUB_LNC008269)". Lineage: Eukaryota; Viridiplantae; Streptophyta; Magnoliopsida; Solanales; Solanaceae. The record is from RNAcentral.